GUUGUCCGGAAUUACUGGGCGUAAAGAGCUCGUAGGUGGUUUGUCGCGUUGUUCGUGAAAUCUCACGGCUUAACUGUGAGCGUGCGGGCGAUACGGGCAGACUUGAGUACUGCAGGGGAGACUGGAAUUCCUGGUGUAGCGGUGGAAUGCGCAGAUAUCAGGAGGAACACCGGUGGCGAAGGCGGGUCUCUGGGCAGUAACUGACGCUGAGGAGCGAAAGCGUGGGGAGCGAACAGGAUUAGAUACCCUGGUAGUCCACGCCGUAAACGGUGGGUACUAGGUGUGGGUUUCCUUCCUUGGGAUCCGUGCCGUAGCUAACGCAUUAAGUACCCCGCCUGGGGAGUACGGCCGCAAGGCUAAAACUCAAAGAAAUUGACGGGGGCCCGCACAAGCGGCGGAGCAUGUGGAUUAAUUCGAUGCAACGCGAAGAACCUUACCUGGGUUUGACAUGCACAGGACGCCGGCAGAGAUGUCGGUUCCCUUGUGGCCUGUGUGCAGGUGGUGCAUGGCUGUCGUCAGCUCGUGUCGUGAGAUGUUGGGUUAAGUCCCGCAACGAGCGCAACCCUUGUCUCAUGUUGCCAGCGGGUAAUGCCGGGGACUCGUGAGGGACUGCCGGGGUCAACUCGGAGGAAGGUGGGGAUGACGUCAAGUCAUCAUGCCCCUUAUGUCCAGGGCUUCACACAUGCUACAAUGGCCGGUACAAAGGGCUGCGAUGCCGCGAGGUUAAGCGAAUCCUUUUAAAGCCGGUCUCAGUUCGGAUCGGGGUCUGCAACUCGACACCGUGAAGUCGGAGUC
RNAcentral lists this ribosomal RNA (795 nucleotides) under uncultured Mycobacterium sp. Its description in RNAcentral is "bacterial SSU rRNA". It matches the Rfam family "Bacterial small subunit ribosomal RNA", at positions 540 to 1333 of the family's 1533-position model. Lineage: Bacteria; Bacillati; Actinomycetota; Actinomycetes; Mycobacteriales; Mycobacteriaceae. The record is from RNAcentral.